GCCUCUAUAGCUCAGUUGGUAGAGCGCGGCACUAGUAUUACUUGCGUGCGAUGCCGAGGUCUACGGUUCGAAUCCGUAUGGAGGCA
Piedraia hortae CBS 480.64 is the source of this 86-nucleotide non-coding RNA. NCBI's taxonomy places the organism in Eukaryota, Fungi, Ascomycota, Dothideomycetes, Capnodiales, Piedraiaceae. The record is from the annotation of a GenBank genome assembly.